GAUGAACGCUGGCGGCGUGCCUAAUACAUGCAAGUCGAGCGAACGGACGAGAAGCUUGCUUCUCUGAUGUUAGCGGCGGACGGGUGAGUAACACGUGGAUAACCUACCUAUAAGACUGGGAUAACUUCGGGAAACCGGAGCUAAUACCGGGUAAUAUUUUGAACCGCAUGGUUCAAAAGUGAAAGACGGUCUUGCUGUCACUUAUAGAUGGAUCCGCGCUGCAUUAGCUAGUUGGUAAGGUAACGGCUUACCAAGGCAACGAUGCAUAGCCGACCUGAGAGGGUGAUCGGCCACACUGGAACUGAGACACGGCCCAGACUCCUACGGGAGGCAGCAGUAGGGAAUCUUCCGCAAUGGGCGAAAGCCUGACGGAGCAACGCCGCGUGAGUGAUGAAGGUCUUCGUAUCGUAAAACUCUGUUAUUAGGGAAGAACAUAUGUGUAAGUAACUGUGCACAUCUUGACGGUACCUAAUCAGAAAGCCACGGCUAACUACGUG
Molecule: ribosomal RNA, 497 nt
Filed under: uncultured bacterium
Lineage: Bacteria
Description: partial 16S ribosomal RNA
Rfam family: Bacterial small subunit ribosomal RNA
Source: RNAcentral